Molecule: ribosomal RNA, 420 nt
Filed under: uncultured bacterium
Lineage: Bacteria
Description: bacterial SSU rRNA
Rfam family: Bacterial small subunit ribosomal RNA
Source: RNAcentral
GCUUAACGCGAAGAACCUUACCACCUUUUGACAUGCCCGGACCACCAGAGAGAUCUGGCUUUCCCUUAGGGGACUGGGACACAGGUGCUGCAUGGCUGUCGUCAGCUCGUGUCGUGAGAUGUUGGGUUAAGUCCCGCAACGAGCGCAACCCACGCCAUUAGUUGCCAUCAUUUAGUUGGGCACUCUAAUGGGACCGCCGGUGGUAAGCCGGAGGAAGGUGUGGAUGACGUCAAGUCCUCAUGGCCCUUACAGGGUGGGCUACACACGUGCUACAAUGGCGACUACAGAGGGUUGCAAGCCAGCGAUGGUGAGCCAAUCCCAAAAAGUCGUCUCAGUUCGGAUUGCACUCUGCAACUCGAGUGCAUGAAGUCGGAAUCGCUAGUAAUCGCGGAUCAGCAUGCCGCGGUGAAUACGUUCCCG